UGAGUCCUACGGGGGGCAGCAGUGGGGUAUAUUGCACAAUGGGGGGAACCCUGAUGCAGCGACGCCGCGUGGGUGAAGAAGCGCCUCGGCGCGUAAAGCCCUGUCAGCAGGGAAGAAAAUGACGGUACCUUAAGAAGAAGCCCCGGCUAACUACGUGCCAGCAGCCGCGGUAAUACGUAGGGGGCAAGCGUUAUCCGGAUUUACUGGGUGUAAAGGGGGCGCAGACGGCGAUGCAAGCCAGUAGUGAAAGCCCGGGGCCCAACGCCGUGACUGCUCUUGUACCGGCGUGGCUGGAUUGCAGGGGG
RNAcentral lists this ribosomal RNA (305 nucleotides) under uncultured bacterium. RNAcentral's name for it is "partial 16S ribosomal RNA". It matches the Rfam family "Bacterial small subunit ribosomal RNA", at positions 333 to 655 of the family's 1533-position model. The record is from RNAcentral.